GCUGGGCAUGGUGGUGCAUGCCUGUAAUCCUAGUGGCUCUGGAGGCUAAGGCAGGAGGAUCACAGAUUUGAAGCUAGCCUCAGAAAAUCAGGGAAAUUGUAAGCAACCUAGUAAGAGCCUGUCUUAA
RNAcentral lists this small RNA (127 nucleotides) under Marmota monax (woodchuck). Lineage: Eukaryota; Metazoa; Chordata; Mammalia; Rodentia; Sciuridae. The record is from RNAcentral.